GUUACCUGGGUCAUAAAAUUACAUUAACCCACUUAUCUGAUCCUAUCAAAAUUGAAUUUAGAUAUCUCACCAUCCAUCACGAAGUUCUGUCUCUCAAUUAAAUACUCUUAACUUAAUUUCUUGAAGAUGCCAACGAUUUAUGAGAAACGACUAUGGUGGUGAGGUAGGCAAGAUAGUAGAGGAGGUGAUGAGAGCAACGACUAUGGUGGUGGGAGCAGUAGCUACGGUGGCGAAGGCAGCAACUACAGUGGUAAACAGUGGUUGCGGUCAGUAUGAUGGUGGAGGUCAACUCCCGAUGGGGAUAGUUGCGCAAGAGAGAAGAUGAAUGGGGGAGAGAGAAUUUGGGUGAAAUCAAAAAGAAGAUCGGAAAAAUGGGGAAGCCAUUGGGAACAACAAGAUGUCUGCCCCUUCUCACUCCACUUCUUUCGCCAUUGUUUCUCGCUCUAACAAAAUUUUGGGUCGGGUCAGCUAAGUGGAUUGAAAUAAAAUUUAUUUUUUAUUUCGGUACGAGAUUGUCACGUGGCCCAGUAAAAAAAUGACACGUCAUUAAAUUGAAGGUCCACCGGUUAUGCUGUUAGUUGUGGAGGUAAUUUUAUUAAUAGAAUUAACGUCGCGUGUUUUUUUGGACGGAUAGAUGAA
Non-coding RNA from Nicotiana tabacum (common tobacco), 639 nucleotides. The record is from RefSeq and is a predicted model, not a curated record. Lineage: Eukaryota; Viridiplantae; Streptophyta; Magnoliopsida; Solanales; Solanaceae.